UCCACUGAUAGUACUGUGGAAUAUUGGGUUGGACGGAUUUAAAGUAGAACGUGGGAGACCAGACAGAAGUGUACAGCAAAAGUCCAGGCAAAAACUUGACGAGAGCCUAGAACACAGAAGUGGCAAAAAAGAAAACUUCAAACGUCACAGUACAAAUCCUAUUGUUCACUAUCCUGGGUCCCAUCCCAAGCAACGUGCAUACUAUAUAUAUUCCCAGCUUCUGGACACAGAACACAGUGAUCCCUCAAUUAGUGGAUACUUGUGAUAUGAAAGAACUGAGGAUUUGGGAGGAGUGCAGAAGAGUAACAUUGGUCACUGGCAG
Molecule: non-coding RNA, 322 nt
Filed under: Pan troglodytes (chimpanzee)
Lineage: Eukaryota; Metazoa; Chordata; Mammalia; Primates; Hominidae
Source: RNAcentral